ACUUAGUGGCAGACGGGUGAGUAACAUGUGGGUAUCUACCCUUUGGCCUGGAAUAACACGAGGAAACUUGUGUUAAUACCGGAUAAGUCUUUACGGAGAAAGCUUUAUGCACCAUUGGAUGAGCCCGCACUUGAUUAGUUUGUUGGUAGGGUAAUGGCCUACCAAGACUAUGAUCAAUAGCUGAUUUGAGAGGAUGAUCAGCCACAUUGGGGCUGAGACACGGCCCAAACUCCUACGGGAGGCAGCAGUGGGGAAUCUUGCACAAUGGAGGAAACUCUGAUGCAGCGAUGCCGCGUGAGUGAAGAAGGCCUUUGGGUUGUAAAGCUCUUUCGUCGGGGAAGAAAAUGACUGUACCCGAAUAAGAAGGUCCGGCUAACUUCGUGCCAGCAGCCGCGGUAAUACGAAGGGACCUAGCGUAGUUCGGAAUUACUGGGCUUAAAGAGUUCGUAGGUGGUUGAAAAAGUUGGUGGUGAAAUCCCAGAGCUUAACUCUGGAACUGCCAUCAAAACUUUUCAGCUAGAGUAUGAUAGAGGAAAGCAGAAUUUCUAGUGU
RNAcentral lists this ribosomal RNA (552 nucleotides) under uncultured Pelagibacterales bacterium. RNAcentral's name for it is "bacterial SSU rRNA". It matches the Rfam family "Bacterial small subunit ribosomal RNA", at positions 90 to 676 of the family's 1533-position model. The record is from RNAcentral. Lineage: Bacteria; Pseudomonadati; Pseudomonadota; Alphaproteobacteria; Candidatus Pelagibacterales.